RNAcentral lists this ribosomal RNA (499 nucleotides) under uncultured bacterium. Its description in RNAcentral is "partial 16S ribosomal RNA". It matches the Rfam family "Bacterial small subunit ribosomal RNA", at positions 28 to 507 of the family's 1533-position model. The record is from RNAcentral.
GAUGAACGCUGGCGGCGUGCCUAAUACAUGCAAGUCGAGCGAACAGACGAGAGUGCUUGCACUCUCUGACGUUAGCGGCGGACGGGUGAGUAACACGUGGGUAACCUACCUAUAAGACUGGGAUAACUUCGGGAAACCGGAGCUAAUACCGGAUAAUAUUUAGCUUCGCAUGAAGCAAUAGUGAAAGACGGUUCUGCUGUCACUUAUAGAUGGACCCGCGGUGUAUUAGCUGGUUGGUGAGGUAACGGCUCACCAAGGCAACGAUACAUAGCCGACCUGAGAGGGUGAUCGGCCACACUGGGACUGAGACACGGCCCAGACUCCUACGGGAGGCAGCAGUAGGGAAUCUUCCGCAAUGGACGAAAGUCUGACGGAGCAAUGCCGCGUGAGUGAAGAAGGUUUUCGGAUCGUAAAACUCUGUUGUAAGGGAAGAACAAGUACGUUAGUAACUGAACGUACCUUGACGGUGCCUUACCAGAAAGCCACGGCUAACUACGUG